UACGGGGGGGGCAAGCGUUGUUCGGAAUUACUGGGCGUAAAGGGCUCGUAGGCGGCCAACUAAGUCAGACGUGAAAUCCCUCGGCUUAACCGGGGAACUGCGUCUGAUACUGGAUGGCUUGAGUUCGGGAGAGGGAUGCGGAAUUCCUGGUGUAGCGGUGAAAUGCGCAGAUAUCAGGAGGAACACCGGUGGCGAAGGCGGGUCUCUGGGCAACAACUGACGCUGAGGAGCGAAAGCGUGGGGAGCGAACAGG
RNAcentral lists this ribosomal RNA (253 nucleotides) under uncultured bacterium. Its description in RNAcentral is "partial 16S ribosomal RNA". It matches the Rfam family "Bacterial small subunit ribosomal RNA", at positions 524 to 776 of the family's 1533-position model. The record is from RNAcentral.